This 401-nucleotide ribosomal RNA is filed under the name uncultured bacterium. RNAcentral's name for it is "bacterial SSU rRNA". It matches the Rfam family "Bacterial small subunit ribosomal RNA", at positions 358 to 773 of the family's 1533-position model. The record is from RNAcentral.
GGAAUUUUGCGCAAUGGGCGAAAGCCUGACGCAGCAACGCCGCGUGGAGGAAGAAGGCCUCCGGGUCGUAAACUCCUGUCCUGGGGGACGAAUGAAGUGACGGUACCCCGGGAGGAAGCCCCGGCUAACUCCGUGCCAGCAGCCGCGGUAAUCCGGGGGGCGCGAGCGUUGUUCGGAAUCCCGGGGCGUAAAGGGCGCGUAGGCGGCGCCGGAAGUCCUGGGUGAAAGCUCCCGGCUCAACCGGGAGAGUGCCUGGGAAACCACGGUGCUGGAGUGCUGGAGAGGGAGGCGGAAUUCCUGGUGUAGCGGUGAAAUGCGUAGAUAUCAGGAGGAACACCCGAGGCGAAGGCGGCCUCCUGGACAGACACUGACGCUGAGGCGCGAAAGCUAGGGGAGCAAAC